UAGUGGCGAACGGGUGAGUAACACGUGGGCAAUCUGCCCUUCACUCUGGGACAAGCCCUGGAAACGGGGUCUAAUACCGGAUAAUACUCCUGCCUGCAUGGGCGGGGGUUGAAAGCUCCGGCGGUGAAGGAUGAGCCCGCGGCCUAUCAGCUUGUUGGUGGGGUAAUGGCCCACCAAGGCGACGACGGGUAGCCGGCCUGAGAGGGCGACCGGCCACACUGGGACUGAGACACGGCCCAGACUCCUACGGGAGGCAGCAGUGGGGAAUAUUGCACAAUGGGCGAAAGCCUGAUGCAGCGACGCCGCGUGAGGGAUGACGGCCUUCGGGUUGUAAACCUCUUUCAGCAGGGAAGAAGCGAAAGUGACGGUACCUGCAGAAGAAGCGCCGGCUAACUACGUGCCAGCAGCCGCGGUAAUACGUAGGGCGCAAGCGUUGUCCGGAAUUAUUGGGCGUAAAGAGCUCGUAGGCGGCUUGUCACGUCGGAUGUGAAAGCCCGAGNCUUAACCUCGGGUCUGCAUUCGAUACGGGCUAGCUAGAGUGGGGNAGGGGAGAUCGGAAUUCCU
Molecule: ribosomal RNA, 564 nt
Filed under: Streptomyces sp. 306C10
Lineage: Bacteria; Bacillati; Actinomycetota; Actinomycetes; Kitasatosporales; Streptomycetaceae
Description: bacterial SSU rRNA
Rfam family: Bacterial small subunit ribosomal RNA
Source: RNAcentral